AGGGUUCGAUUCUGGCUCAGGAUGAACGCUAGCGACAGGCUUAACACAUGCAAGUCGAGGGGCAGCAUAAAAGUAGCAAUACUUGGUGGCGACCGGCGCACGGGUGAGUAACGCGUAUGCAACCUACCUAUCAGAGGGGAAUAACCCGGCGAAAGUCGGACUAAUACCGCAUAAAACAGGGGCACCGCAUGGUGAUAUUUGUUAAAGAAAUUCGCUGAUAGGUGGGCAUGCGUUCCAUUAGGUAGUUGGUGAGGUAACGGCUCACCAAGCCGACGAUGGAUAGGGGAACUGAGAGGUUGGUCCCCCACACUGGUACUGAGACACGGACCAGACUCCUACGGGAGGCAGCAGUGAGGAAUAUUGGUCAAUGGGCGGGAGCCUGAACCAGCCAAGUCGCCGUGAAGGAAGAAGGAUCUAUGGUUCGUAAACUUCUUUUGCAGGGGAAUAAAGUGCAGGACGUGUCCUGUUUUGUAUGUACCCUGAGAAUAAGGAUCGGCUAACUCCGUGCCAGCCGCCGC
This 518-nucleotide ribosomal RNA is filed under the name uncultured bacterium. Its description in RNAcentral is "bacterial SSU rRNA". It matches the Rfam family "Bacterial small subunit ribosomal RNA", at positions 8 to 518 of the family's 1533-position model. The record is from RNAcentral.